UGUAGCAAAGCGUUAAGCACUGGUGCUAUGAUAUGGCUGAGUGUAGACUGCGAUAUUCUCACUGCUGAUGCUAUGACUGUUUAAAAUGAUCCUGAUGCCAAUAUUUGCAAUGUAGCAAGGAGUUUAACACCUGCUGGAAUGGAAUGUGAACACUGAGUUGGAGAUU
This is a long non-coding RNA of Etheostoma cragini (Arkansas darter), 166 nucleotides long. RefSeq lists it as uncharacterized. The record is from RefSeq and is a predicted model, not a curated record. NCBI's taxonomy places the organism in Eukaryota, Metazoa, Chordata, Actinopteri, Perciformes, Percidae. The transcript has 3 exons.